This 965-nucleotide ribosomal RNA is filed under the name uncultured Alphaproteobacteria bacterium. Its description in RNAcentral is "bacterial SSU rRNA". It matches the Rfam family "Bacterial small subunit ribosomal RNA", at positions 517 to 1503 of the family's 1533-position model. Lineage: Bacteria; Pseudomonadati; Pseudomonadota; Alphaproteobacteria. The record is from RNAcentral.
GCGUAAUACGGAGGGGGUUAGCGUUGUUCGGAAUUACUGGGCGUAAAGCGUACGUAGGCGGAUUAAUAAGUUAGAGGUGAAAUCCCAGGGCUCAACCCUGGAACUGCCUUUAAAACUGUUAGUCUUGAGAUCGAGAGAGGUGAGUGGAAUUCCAAGUGUAGAGGUGAAAUUCGUAGAUAUUUGGAGGAACACCAGUGGCGAAGGCGGCUCACUGGCUCGAUACUGACGCUGAGGUACGAAAGUGUGGGGAGCAAACAGGAUUAGAUACCCUGGUAGUCCACACCGUAAACGAUGAAUGCCAGACGUCAGCAAGCAUGCUUGUUGGUGUCACACUAACGGAUUAAGCAUUCCGCCUGGGGAGUACGGUCGCAAGAUUAAAACUCAAAGGAAUUGACGGGGGCCCGCACAAGCGGUGGAGCAUGUGGUUUAAUUCGACGCAACGCGCAGAACCUUACCAACCCUUGACAUACUUGUCGCGGAUUCCAGAGAUGGAUUCCUUCAGUUCGGCUGGACAAUGUACAGGUGCUGCAUGGCUGUCGUCAGCUCGUGUCGUGAGAUGUUCGGUUAAGUCCGGCAACGAGCGCAACCCACGUCCUUAGUUACCAGCAUUUGGUUGGGUACCCUAAGGAGACUGCCGGUGAUAAGCCGGAGGAAGGUGUGGACGACGUCAAGUCAUCAUGGCCUUACGGGUUGGGCUACACACGUGCUACAAUGGCAUCUACAGUGAGUUAAUCUCCAAAAGAUGUCUCAGUUCGGAUUGGGGUCUGCAACUCGACCCCAUGAAGUUGGAAUCGCUAGUAAUCGCGGAACAGCAUGCCGCGGUGAAUACGUUCCCGGGCCUUGUACACACCGCCCGUCACACCAUGGGAAUUGGGUCUACCCGAAGGUGGUGCGCCAACUAUUUAUAGAGGCAGCCAACCACGGUAGGUUCAGUGACUGGGGUGUAGUCGUAACAAGGUAUCCGU